UGUCAAACUGCCUUUAAACACGCAUCUCAAU
RNAcentral lists this non-coding RNA (31 nucleotides) under Mus musculus (house mouse). The record is from RNAcentral. Lineage: Eukaryota; Metazoa; Chordata; Mammalia; Rodentia; Muridae.